AGAGUGAACGCUGGCGGUAGGCCUAACACAUGCAAGUCGAACGGCAGCACAGUGGUAGCAAUACCAUGGGUGGCGAGUGGCGGACGGGUGAGGAAUACAUCGGAAUCUACCUUUUCGUGGGGGAUAACGUGGGGAAACUUACGCUAAUACCGCAUACGCCCGUUCGGGGGAAAGCCGGGGACCAGCAAUGGCCUGGCGCUGAUAGAUGAGCCGAUGUCGGAUUAGCUAGUUGGUGAGGUAAUGGCUCACCAAGGCGACGAUCCGUAGCUGGUCUGAGAGAUGAUCAGCCACACGUAGGAACUGGAGAC
This 308-nucleotide ribosomal RNA is filed under the name uncultured soil bacterium. RNAcentral describes it as "bacterial SSU rRNA". It matches the Rfam family "Bacterial small subunit ribosomal RNA", at positions 26 to 325 of the family's 1533-position model. The record is from RNAcentral.